RNAcentral lists this ribosomal RNA (565 nucleotides) under uncultured bacterium. Its description in RNAcentral is "bacterial SSU rRNA". It matches the Rfam family "Bacterial small subunit ribosomal RNA", at positions 338 to 916 of the family's 1533-position model. The record is from RNAcentral.
CCUACGGGAGGCAGCAGUGGGGAAUUUUCCGCAAUGGGCGAAAGCCUGACGGAGCAAUACCGCGUGAGGGAAGACGGCCUAUGGGUUGUAAACCUCUUUUCUCAGGGAGGAAAUCAAUGACGUUACCUGAGGAAUAAGCAUCGGCUAACUCCGUGCCAGCAGCCGCGGUAAGACGGAGGAUGCAAGUGUUAUCCGGAAUCACUGGGCGUAAAGCGUCUGUAGGUGGCUUAACAAGUCAACUGUUAAAUCUUGAAGCUCAACUUCGAAAUCGCAGUCGAAACUGUUAGGCUAGAGUAUAGUAGGGGUAAAGGGAAUUUCCAGUGGAGCGGUGAAAUGCGUAGAGAUUGGAAAGAACACCGAUGGCGAAGGCACUUUACUGGGCUAUUACUGACACUCAGAGACGAAAGCUAGGGUAGCAAAUGGGAUUAGAUACCCCAGUAGUCCUAGCCGUAAACAAUGGAUACUAGAUGUUGGGCAGAUCGACCUGUUCAGUAUUAAAGCUAACGCGUUGAGUAUCCCGCCUGGGAAGUAUGCGCGCAAGCGUGAAACUCAAAGGAAUUGACGG